GUCUACGACCAUAUCAUGUCGAAAACACUGGUUCUUGACCGAUCACCGAAGUUAAGCAACGUCGAGCCCGGUUAGUACUUGGAUGGGUGACCGCCUGGGAAUACCGUGUGUUGUAGACA
RNAcentral lists this ribosomal RNA (119 nucleotides) under Mytilus californianus (California mussel). Lineage: Eukaryota; Metazoa; Mollusca; Bivalvia; Mytilida; Mytilidae. The record is from RNAcentral.